This 440-nucleotide ribosomal RNA is filed under the name uncultured bacterium. RNAcentral describes it as "partial 16S ribosomal RNA". It matches the Rfam family "Bacterial small subunit ribosomal RNA", at positions 338 to 795 of the family's 1533-position model. The record is from RNAcentral.
CCUACGGGAGACAGCAGUGGGGGAUAUUGCACAAUGGGGGGAACCCUGAUGCAGCGACGCCGCGUGGGUGAAGAAGCGCCUCGGCGCGUAAAGCCCUGUCAGCAGGGAAGAAAAUGACGGUACCUGAAGAAGAAGCCCCGGCUAACUACGUGCCAGCAGCCGCGGUAAUACGUAGGGGGCAAGCGUUAUCCGGAUUUACUGGGUGUAAAGGGGGCGCAGACGGCGAUGCAAGCCAGGAGUGAAAGCUCGGGGCCCAACCCCGGGACUGCUCUUGGAACUGCGUGGCUGGAGUGCAGGAGGGGCAGGCGGAAUUCCUGGUGUAGCGGUGAAAUGCGUAGAUAUCAGGAGGAACACCGGUGGCGAAGGCGGCCUGCUGGACUGCAACUGACGUUGAGGCCCGAAAGCGUGGGGAGCAAACAGGAUUAGAUACCCUAGUAGUC